RNAcentral lists this ribosomal RNA (492 nucleotides) under uncultured bacterium. RNAcentral describes it as "partial 16S ribosomal RNA". It matches the Rfam family "Bacterial small subunit ribosomal RNA", at positions 29 to 507 of the family's 1533-position model. The record is from RNAcentral.
AGUGAACGCUGGCGGUAGGCCUAACACAUGCAAGUCGAACGGCAGCACAGUAAGAGCUUGCUCUUACGGGUGGCGAGUGGCGGACGGGUGAGGAAUACAUCGGAAUCUACUUUUUCGUGGGGGAUAACGUAGGGAAACAUACGCUAACACCGCAUACGACCUACGGGUGAAAGCAGGGGAUCUUGGGACCUUGCGCGAUUGAAUGAGCCGAUGUCGGAUUACCUAGUUGGCGGGGUAAAGGCCCACCAAGGCGACGAUCCGUAGCGGCUCUGAGAGGAUGAGCAGUCACACUGGAACUGAGACACGGUCCAGACUCCUACUGGAGGCAGCAGUGGGGAAUCUUGGACAAUGGGCGAAAGCCUGAUCCAGCAAUACCGCGUGGGUGAUGAAGGUCUUCGGCUUGUAAAGCCCUUUUGUUAGGAAAGAAAAGCAGCGGAUUAAUACACCACUGUUCUGACGGUACCCAAAGAAUAAGCACCGGCUAACUUCGUG